AAUAUUGGUCAAUGGCCGGAAGGCUGAACCAGCCAAGCCGCGUGAAGGACGAAGGUGCCAAGCAUUGUAAACUUCUUUUGUCAAGGGACAAAAUCAGGCUCGAGAGCCUGACCGAGGGUACUUGAAGAAAAAGCAUCGGCUAACUCCGUGCC
This 152-nucleotide ribosomal RNA is filed under the name uncultured bacterium. RNAcentral describes it as "partial 16S ribosomal RNA". It matches the Rfam family "Bacterial small subunit ribosomal RNA", at positions 360 to 509 of the family's 1533-position model. The record is from RNAcentral.